Molecule: non-coding RNA, 278 nt
Organism: Trypanosoma brucei brucei
Lineage: Eukaryota; Euglenozoa; Kinetoplastea; Trypanosomatida; Trypanosomatidae
Source: Rfam
GCCGGAGCAUAUUGCUCUGUAACCUUCGGGGGCUGAUCCCGCUUAGCGGGGACGUCUUGGACAAGCGGGGGUUCUGUUGCGUUGACUUGGUGUUCUGCUUGGUUGCGUGUCGGUGUUGAGGUCGCCACUGUAGAGAGGCGUUCUCGCGCCGUUAAAGUGGGGGGAACGGGUCAGGCCGGUGACGGAGCAGCCCACCUUGCGCACGUUCCCGUUGCAGAAGCACACCGAGGAGCAUCUCAGGAUUUUGCGCCCCAAGUGUCGUCGCGAGGCGGUUUGUU